GGGACGAACGCUGGCGGCGUGCUUAACACAUGCAAGUCGAGCGGAAAGGCCCUUCGGGGUACUCGAGCGGCGAACGGGUGAGUAACACGUGAGUAAUCUGCCCUUAGCUCUGGGAUAGCUCCGGGAAACCGGGAUUAAAUACCAGAUACGACCACUUUAGACAUCUGCCGUGGUGGAAAGAAUUUCGGCUAAGGAUGAGCUCGCGGCCUAUCAGCUUGUUGGUGGGUAACGGCCUACCAAGGCGACGACGGGUA
This 254-nucleotide ribosomal RNA is filed under the name uncultured bacterium. RNAcentral's name for it is "partial small subunit ribosomal RNA". It matches the Rfam family "Bacterial small subunit ribosomal RNA", at positions 27 to 285 of the family's 1533-position model. The record is from RNAcentral.